This 2055-nucleotide ribosomal RNA is filed under the name Triticum aestivum (bread wheat). Its description in RNAcentral is "partial small subunit ribosomal RNA". The record is from RNAcentral. Lineage: Eukaryota; Viridiplantae; Streptophyta; Magnoliopsida; Poales; Poaceae.
AUGGCCGACGACCACUACUCCUCCAAGCGCAAGUACGACGACUCCCCGCCGCCGCGCCGGACGGGAUUCUCCUCCGGCCCGCCGCCCGCCUCGCCGCCGGUUGCCGGUGCCCCGGUGCCAUCUUCGUACAACACUGUGCCGCCGCCUCCCGACGAGAUCCAGCUCGCGAAGCAGCGCGCGCAGGAGAUCGCAGCUCGGCUCUUCAGCGCCGCUGAGGCGAAGCGUCCCCGCGUCGACAAUGGCGAUGACGACGUGGGCACCGGUGGGGGAGGAGGGGGUUCCCUGGGGAGCGGUGGCCGUAUCGGCGGUGGCGGCCUCGGAUUCUCGUCCUCAGCCGGUGGUGGCCAUGCUUCUUCCAUCCCAUCCUUAUCUUCUCAAGGAAACUCACAUCAGUAUUCUUCAUAUGGUGGUGGAUACCAGAGUGGCAGUACAACAAAAAAGAUUGAUAUCCCAAAUGGAAGGGUUGGUGUUAUCAUUGGAAAAGCUGGAGAAACUAUAAAGCAUCUCCAAGCUCAGUCAGGGGCAAAGAUCCAAGUAACAAGGGACAUGGAUGUUCAACCCGGCUCACAGACAAGAUCGGUCGAUCUUUCGGGCACUCCUGACCAGAUAAACAGAGCUGAGCAGUUGAUAAUUGAUGUUCUUGCAGAGGCUGAUGCUGGAUCAUCUGGCACUAUCUCUAAUCGGAAGUACAACGCACCUCAACCUGGUGCUGAGCAAUUCCAAAUGCAAAUUGCUAACAAUAAGGUGGGUCUGGUUAUUGGUAAGGGUGGUGAGACUAUAAAAUCCAUGCAGGCCAAAUCUCAAGCUCGUAUACAGGUCAUUCCUUUGCAUUUGCCUCCUGGUGAUACUUCAACUGAAAGAAUACUGUAUAUUGAUGGUACUGCAGAGCAAAUUGAAAUAGCAAAGCAGCUUGUGAGUGAGGUCACUAGUGAGAAUCGUGCCAGAAAUCCAAUGUCAGGUGGCUAUUCUCAGCAGGGCUACCGCCCUCCUCGUCCUCAGGCAAACUGGGGUGCGCCUGGUGCACCAACAACACAACAGCCUGGUUAUGGUUACAUGCAGCCUGGACCUUAUCCUGGUGCGCCACCACAGUAUGGCCAGCAACCUUAUGGCAGCUACCCUCCAGCAUCUGGAGGUUAUCAGACAGGGUGGGAUCAGUCUUCAAACCAGCAAUCACAGCAGGCCCCCUCUGCCGCUGGUUAUGACUACUAUAACCAACAGCAGCAACCCCAACAGCAACAAUCUGCCACUGGAACUGCUGCACCUGCUGAUGCUAGCAACUACAAUUACAGCCAGCCUCCUGCUAGUUAUGCUUCACAAGGGUAUGGUGAUUCUACCUACUCUCAGCAGAGUGGUGGGCAGCAAGCUUAUGACUACUCUGGUUACCAGACCCAGGGGCAGCAGCAGUCUUACUCGGAGCAGCCUGGAUAUGAUCAGCAGAGCUAUGGAUCAGCUGCUAACUCAACUCAGGAUGGUACUGCACCUAGCUAUGGUGGUCCAGGUGGUGCUGGUCAAGCAUCUCCAGGGCAGCAAGCUUCCACUCCAUCCUCUGGAGGCCAACCGGGUUAUCCUAGCCAACCACCUACUAGUGCUGCUGCAUCAAGCUACCCAGUGCAAGGUUCUGCCCCUCCAUCUGGAUACGUUGCUCCACAUACACAGCCUGGUUAUGGUACGCAGCCACCACCACAGGGCGCAUACGGUCAGGGUGCUUAUGGGCAGCCUCCGCAGGCUCAGAAGCCGCCUUCAUCUGCUCCUACUUAUGGACAGCCACCGCCUGCUCAGGCUGGUUAUGGGCAGUAUGGAUACAGUCAGCAAGGCUAUGGUGCACCGCCGCCUUACCCUGGUGCACCCACUGCUAGCCAGCCAGGCUAUGGCCAGCAGCAGUCAUACGGUGAUCCUUAUGCUACUGGUAGCUAUGGGCAGCCUACAGCGUAUUCUACUGAAGCUACAGCACCUGCUGCUUCCCAGGAUCAAUCUGCCGCCGCACCUGCCCCUACCACAGCAACUGCCGCUCCUGCUCCUGCCAACAGUGGUGCCCCCCAAACUUCUCCGAGUUGA